RNAcentral lists this transfer RNA (71 nucleotides) under Loxodonta africana (African savanna elephant). It matches the Rfam family "tRNA". Rfam says of the family: Transfer RNA (tRNA) molecules are approximately 80 nucleotides in length. Lineage: Eukaryota; Metazoa; Chordata; Mammalia; Proboscidea; Elephantidae. The record is from Rfam by way of RNAcentral.
GCAGUGGUAGUUCAGUAGUAGAAUUUUCGCCUUCUAUGCAGGAGACCCAGGUUCAAUUCCUGGCCAGUGCA